GAUGAACGCUGGCGGCGUGCCUAAUACAUGCAGGUCGAGCGAACGGACGAGAAGCUUGCUUCUCUGAUGUUAGCGGCGGACGGGUGAGUAACACGUGGAUAACCUACCUAUAAGACUGGGAUAACUUCGGGAAACCGGAGCUAAUACCGGAUAAUAUUUUGAACCGCAUGGUUCAAAAGUGAAAGACGGUCUUGCUGUCACUUAUAGAUGGAUCCGCGCUGCAUUAGCUAGUUGGUAAGGUAACGGCUUACCAAGGCAACGAUGCAUAGCCGACCUGGGAGGGUGAUCGGCCACACUGGAACUGAGACACGGUCCAGACUCCUACGGGAGGCAGCAGUAGGGAAUCUUCCGCAAUGGGCGAAAGCCUGACGGAGCAACGCCGCGUGAGUGAUGAAGGUCUUCGGAUCGUAAAACUCUGUUAUUAGGGAAGAACAUAUGUGUAAGUAACUGUGCACAUCUUGACGGUACCUAAUCAGAAAGCCACGGCUAACUACGUG
RNAcentral lists this ribosomal RNA (497 nucleotides) under uncultured bacterium. Its description in RNAcentral is "partial 16S ribosomal RNA". It matches the Rfam family "Bacterial small subunit ribosomal RNA", at positions 28 to 507 of the family's 1533-position model. The record is from RNAcentral.